This 428-nucleotide ribosomal RNA is filed under the name uncultured Parcubacteria group bacterium. RNAcentral describes it as "bacterial SSU rRNA". It matches the Rfam family "Bacterial small subunit ribosomal RNA", at positions 354 to 796 of the family's 1533-position model. The record is from RNAcentral.
GUCAAGAAUCUUCCUCAAUGGACGAAAGUCUGAAGGAGCGACGCCGCGUGCACGAAGAAGCUUUUCGGAGUGUAAAGUGCUUUUAUCAGUGACGAAACAAUGACGGUAACUGAUGAAUAAGGGGCUGCUAACCUCGUGCCAGCAGCAGCGGUAAUACGAGGGCCCCAAGCGUUAUCCGGAUUUAUUGGGCGUAAAGCGUCCGUAGGUGGCUAGUCGCAUCUUCUGUUAAAUCUCUGGGCUCAACCCAGAGCCAGCGGAAGAGAUGGAUUGGCUAGAGACUGGAAGAGGCAAACGGAAUUGCUGGUGUAGGGGUUAAAUCCAUUAAUAUCAGCAAGAACAUCAAAUGCGAAGGCAGUUUGCUAGGACAGUUCUGACACUCAGUGGACGAAAGCGUGGGGAGCGAAUGGGAUUAGAUACCCGAGUAGUCC